Molecule: ribosomal RNA, 504 nt
Filed under: uncultured bacterium
Lineage: Bacteria
Description: partial 16S ribosomal RNA
Rfam family: Bacterial small subunit ribosomal RNA
Source: RNAcentral
ACUGAACGCUGGCGGCAGGCCUAACACAUGCAAGUCGGGCGGUAACACAGGGAGCUUGCUCCUGGGUGACGAGCGGCGGACGGGUGAGUAAUGUCUGGGAAACUGCCUGAUGGAGGGGGAUAACUACUGGAAACGGUAGCUAAUACCGCAUAACGUCACAAGACCAAAGAGGGGGACCUUCGGGCCUCUUGCCAACAGAUGUGCCCAGAUGGGAUUAGCUAGUAGGUGGGGUAAGGGCUCACCUAGGCGACGAUCCCUAGCUGGUCUGAGAGGAUGACCAGCCACACCGGAACGGAGACACAGGCCAGACGCCUACGGGAGGCAGCAGUGGGGAAUAUUGCACAAUGGGCGCAAGCCUGAUGCAGCCAUGCCGCGUGUGUGAAGAAGGCCUUCGGGUUGUAAAGCACUUUCAGCGAGGAGGAAGGCGGUGAGGUUAAUAACCUCAUCGAUUGACGUUACUCGCAGAAGAAGCACCGGCUAACUCCGUGCCAGCAGCCGCCGUAA